This 793-nucleotide ribosomal RNA is filed under the name uncultured Acaulosporaceae. RNAcentral's name for it is "eukaryotic LSU rRNA". It matches the Rfam family "Eukaryotic large subunit ribosomal RNA", at positions 10 to 692 of the family's 3401-position model. The record is from RNAcentral. Lineage: Eukaryota; Fungi; Glomeromycota; Glomeromycetes; Diversisporales; Acaulosporaceae.
AUCAGGUAGGGACACCCGCUGAACUUAAGCAUAUCAAUAAGCGGAGGAAAAGAAAAUAACAAUGAUUCCCCUAGUAACUGCGAGUGAAGAGGGACAAGCUCAAAUUUUAAAUCUGUUAGGUUUCACCUGGCCGAGUUGUAAUUUGAAGAAGCGUUUUCUGCGUCCUUGGUCAGCCCAAGUCCUAUUGAAUGAGGCAUCAUGGAGGGUGAUAAUCCCGUCCGGUUGAUCAAUGCGUUUUACGAUACGCUCUCAAAGAGUCAAGUUGUUUGGGAUUGCAGCUUAAAAUGGGAGGUAAAUUUCUCCUAAGGCUAAAUAUUGGCGAGAGGCCGAUAGCGAACAAGUACCGUGAGGGAAAGAUGAAAAGAACUUUGAAAAGAGAGUAAAAUAGUGCGUGAAAUUGUUGAAAGGGAAACGAUUGAAGUCAGUCAUGCUAGUGAGGAAUCAACCGGAUGGUGCGUGGGUUCUCCCUCGUACUUUCCGGUGCACUUUCUCACCCGGCAGGUUAGCAUCAAUUUCGGUUAUCAUAAAAAAUUUGAGAGGAUGUGGCUUUCCUUCGGGAAAGUGUUAUAGAUCUCGAUCUAUGUGGUGACCGGGAUUGAGGAUUGCAGCGGAUACCCUCGUGGCUCGUCACCUGGCUUCUGACGGUUACCCCGCUUUCGAUAGCUCGCUAACGUUAGUGGGACUCGAUUGUCUAGAUGUCAGAGUGAUUGAUUUUCGCUAAGGAUGCUGACGUAAUGGCUUUAAACGACCCGUCUUGAAACACGGACCAAGGAGUCUAACAUGUAUGCGAGUU